Molecule: ribosomal RNA, 264 nt
Filed under: uncultured bacterium
Lineage: Bacteria
Description: partial 16S ribosomal RNA
Rfam family: Bacterial small subunit ribosomal RNA
Source: RNAcentral
GUCCAUACCGUAAACUAUGUAUACUUGAUGUAACCGGACUCAACCCUGGUUGUGUCGAAGCUAACGCGAUAAGUAUACCGCCUGGGAAGUACGCUCGCAAGGGUGAAACUCAAAAAGAAUUGACGGGGACCCGCACAAGCAGUGGAGCAUGUGGUUUAAUUCGAUGCAACGCGAAGAACCUUACCCAGGUUUGACAUGCACUAGACGUAUCUAGAAAUAGGUAUUCCCUUCGGGGCUGGUGCACAGGUGCUGCAUGGCUGUCGU